AUCAAGCUAUGCUUGGCCUUGGGCUUGUCGCCCCCUCUUUCGAGGUGGGCGUGCCCCAAAUGACCCCCGGCGAAGUCGAUCCGGCCCUGGGCGUAGUAGAAAUUAUCACGUCGAGAGGGUCCGGUUGGCUUUUGCGUCGAAACACCAACUCUUUUUCAAAGGUUGACCUCGGAUCAGGUAGGGAUACCCGCUGAACUUAA
Molecule: unclassified non-coding RNA, 200 nt
Filed under: soil metagenome
Description: partial contains internal transcribed spacer 2 and large subunit ribosomal RNA
Source: RNAcentral